AGAUAUUACCGAGGGCCUUCAGCCCCUUGGUAAAUACAUUUUACCGAGGGUAUUACCGAGGGUCAUGUGACCGUCGGUAAGUUGGUGCUCAUUAAACCCCACAGCUUGGUUUCCCUCACUUUUCGAGCCAAAAAUACGAAGCCAGUCUCGUCCCCUUUUAGAGAAGUCUCGUCCAAACCCAACCCGUUUCAGAAACCCUUCCCGUUUCAGAGAAGUCGUCUCCAACACCACCAAAGUCUCGCUCUGCCCAAAUUUCACAAAUUCCCGUUCUCAUUUGCCCAAAGCCCUAACCCUAAGGUGUUCCAAAGCCCUAACCCCAAGGUGUUCCAUCGGUUCGUGCUUCCAUUCUCUCGUCUACCUCUGUCUUUCCGGUGGCGGUUCGUUCUUCAUCUUCCUUGCGGCCAUUGCUACUUCGUCUUCCUCACGGGCCAUUGCCAUUGCCCCUACAUUUUCCUUGCGAGCCAUUUCCACCACCUCGCGGGCCACUGUUGCAGCCUCUCGUCGUUGCUGCCAACAUCUUCGUCGCCGUGCAAUCGCCUCCGCCUCCGCCUCACUCGUAGCGCCUCUGUUGUGGCUGUGGCAUCCACGGUUCUCCUCCUACCCGUGGUAAGUUGUCUUUGCUGUUGGGAGUGAAACAACUUCUCGAUAAAAGCUCCUAUGGUUCUAAUCCAGAUCCCCAUCCCCAAUUUUAGUGUUGUUAUCCCCUUUCUUAGAUCUACAUUGCUUCAGCUGUUAUCCCCUUUCUCUCCCUUUUUUUUUUUUUAUGUUUCUCAGAUCAUCUGGUGUUGUUCGUGGGCUGCCUGUUACGAUUCUACGAUUCUAAUCAAUACGAAAUCACCAUCCUGAUUUGAAAGGACCCGAAAAUAGGGAAUUGGUGGAUGAGUUUCGGCGAUUACACACUAGUGGGGAAUUGGCAGAUAGCGUGGAGUUUGUUGGCCAAAUUCAUACAAGAGGGUUGGGAUUGAUAAGCUGAAGGGGUGUGAUGAAGGGAAUUCUUUUUGGGACAGAAAAACGUGGAGAAGCAUAUGGAGAAGAAAGAUGUUGUAGUCCAUGGAAUUAUUUUUGGGACAGAAAGGUAAAGCUGCCACGUGUGUGAGAGAAUUAUUUGGAAAAGGACAUUUGUUAGAGGUGGACAAGUGGCAGAGGAGCUAGAAAAUAG
Long non-coding RNA from Vigna radiata var. radiata (mung bean), 1159 nucleotides. RefSeq lists it as uncharacterized. The record is from RefSeq and is a predicted model, not a curated record. The transcript has 3 exons. NCBI's taxonomy places the organism in Eukaryota, Viridiplantae, Streptophyta, Magnoliopsida, Fabales, Fabaceae.